RNAcentral lists this ribosomal RNA (480 nucleotides) under uncultured bacterium. RNAcentral's name for it is "partial 16S ribosomal RNA". It matches the Rfam family "Bacterial small subunit ribosomal RNA", at positions 28 to 507 of the family's 1533-position model. The record is from RNAcentral.
GAUGAACGCUAGCGGCAGGCCUAACACAUGCAAGUCGAGGGGGAAGUUACUUUCGGGUGACUGAGACCGGCGUACGGGUGCGUAACGCGUAUACAAUCUGCCUUUCACUGGGGGAUAGCCCGAAGAAAUUUGGAUUAAUACCCCAUAGUAUAUAGGGACGGCAUCGUUUUUAUAUUAAAGCUUAGGUGGUGAAAGAUGAGUAUGCGUUCUAUUAGCUAGUUGGAGAGGUAACGGCUCCCCAAGGCGAUGAUAGAUAGGGGUUCUGAGAGGGAUGUCCCCCACACUGGUACUGAGAUACGGACCAGACUCCUACGGGAGGCAGCAGUGAGGAAUAUUGGACAAUGGUCGGAAGACUGAUCCAGCCAUGCCGCGUGCAGGAUGAAGGUCUUAUGGAUUGUAAACUGCUUUUGUAAGGGAAGAAUAAGGGCUACGCGUAGUUUGAUGACGAUACCUUACGAAUAAGCAUCGGCUAACUCCGUG